ACUCAAAGGAAUAGACGGGGGCCCGCACAAGCGGUGGAGCAUGUGGUUCAAUUCGACGCAACGCGAAGAACCUUACCUGGGCUCGAAAUGCAGUCGCCGGCCUGAGAGAUCAGGUUUUCCCGCAAGGGACGGCUGCAUAGGUGCUGCAUGGCUGUCGUCAGCUCGUGUCGUGAGAUGUUGGGUUAAGUCCCGCAACGAGCGCAACCCUCACCGUUAGUUGCUCGAUCCCGCGCAAGCGGGGCCAGCACCCUAACGGAACCGCCUCAGAUAAUGGGGAGGAAGGUGGGGAUGACGUCAAGUCCUCAUGGCCUUUAUGUCCAGGGCUACACACGUGCUACAAUGGCCGGUACAAAGCGUCGCGAACCCGCGAGGGGGAGCCAAUCGCAAAAAGCCGGUCCCAGUUCGGAUUGCAGUCUGCAACUCGACUGCAUGAAGCCGGAAUCGCUAGUAAUCGCGUAUCAGAACGACGCGGUGAAUACGUUCCCGGGCCUUGUACACACCGCCCGU
Molecule: ribosomal RNA, 507 nt
Filed under: uncultured bacterium
Lineage: Bacteria
Description: partial 16S ribosomal RNA
Rfam family: Bacterial small subunit ribosomal RNA
Source: RNAcentral